AUGAACGCUGGCGGCGUGCUUCACACAUGCAAGUCGAACGGGAAACCUUUUAAUGAAGCUUCGGCAGAUUUAGCUGGUUUCUAGUGGCGGACGGGUGAGUAACGCGUGGGUAACCUGCCUUAUACAGGGGGAUAACAGUCAGAAAUGACUGCUAAUACCGCAUAAGCGCACAGGACCGCAUGGUCCGGUGUGAAAAACUCCGGUGGUAUAAGAUGGACCCGCGUUGGAUUAGCUUGUUGGUGGGGUAACGGCUCACCAAGGCGACGAUCCAUAGCCGGCCUGAGAGGGUGAACGGCCACAUUGGGACUGAGACACGGCCCAGACUCCUACGGGAGGCAGCAGUGGGGAAUAUUGCACAAUGGGGGAAACCCUGAUGCAGCGACGCCGCGUGAAGGAAGAAGUAUCUCGGUAUGUAAACUUCUAUCAGCAGGGAAGAUAGUGACGGUACCUGACUAAGAAGCCCCGGCUAACUACGUG
This 477-nucleotide ribosomal RNA is filed under the name uncultured bacterium. RNAcentral's name for it is "partial 16S ribosomal RNA". It matches the Rfam family "Bacterial small subunit ribosomal RNA", at positions 29 to 507 of the family's 1533-position model. The record is from RNAcentral.